GACCGGAUUUUAAAAUUCUAUGCACAGACAUUUACUCUUUCACCAUUACAUAUGACCAAGGAGAUUUAUACAAGCUUAGCUAAAUAUUUGAAGUUAUACUUUCUUUCUAGAGAAAAUCAGAUUCCUACUCUUUCAACUGGUAUAGAUAUAAGUAAUCCUAAUGUGAUCUGCUUACUUAAAAAGGUUCGUCUUCUAAAUGAAUAUCAGAAAGAGGCUCCAUCUUUCUGGAUUCGUCACCCAGAAAAGUAAGUCCUCUAAUUUAUACCAAUAUAAAAUAUAGAGGUUAUGCCAAUAUAAAAUAUAGGGGUGUUACUGUCCCAUGUACA
Molecule: long non-coding RNA, 326 nt
Organism: Ailuropoda melanoleuca (giant panda)
Lineage: Eukaryota; Metazoa; Chordata; Mammalia; Carnivora; Ursidae
Exons: 3
Source: RefSeq, a predicted model, not a curated record